CCUACGGGUGGCAGCAGUGGGGAAUAUUGGACAAUGGGGGGAACCCUGAUCCAGCCAUGCCGCGUGUGUGAAGAAGGCCCUCGGGUUGUAAAGCACUUUCAGUGAGGAAGAACGCCUGGUGGUUAAUACCCAUCAGGAAAGACAUCACUCACAGAAGAAGCACCGGCUAACUCCGUGCCACCAGCCGCGGUAAUACGGAGGGUGCGAGCGUUAAUCGGAAUUACUGGGCGUAAAGCGCGCGUAGGUGGCUUGAUAAGCCGGUUGUGAAAGCCCCGGGCUCAACCUGGGAACGGCAUCCGGAACUGUCAAGCUAGAGUGCAGGAGAGGAAGGUAGAAUUCCCGGUGUAGCGGUGAAAUGCGUAGAGAUCGGGAGGAAUACCAGUGGCGAAGGCGGCCUUCUGGACUGACACUGACACUGAGGUGCGAAAGCGUGGGUAGCAAACAGGAUUAGAUACCCUAGUAGUC
RNAcentral lists this ribosomal RNA (465 nucleotides) under Vreelandella stevensii. RNAcentral's name for it is "partial 16S ribosomal RNA". It matches the Rfam family "Bacterial small subunit ribosomal RNA", at positions 338 to 795 of the family's 1533-position model. The record is from RNAcentral. Lineage: Bacteria; Pseudomonadati; Pseudomonadota; Gammaproteobacteria; Oceanospirillales; Halomonadaceae.